RNAcentral lists this ribosomal RNA (489 nucleotides) under uncultured bacterium. Its description in RNAcentral is "partial 16S ribosomal RNA". It matches the Rfam family "Bacterial small subunit ribosomal RNA", at positions 28 to 506 of the family's 1533-position model. The record is from RNAcentral.
GAUGAACGCUAGCUACAGGCUUAACACAUGCAAGUCGCGGGGCAGCAUGGGGGUUGCUUGCAAUCCCCGAUGGCGACCGGCGCACGGGUGAGUAACGCGUAUCCAACCUGCCCUUCACCACGGGAUAACCCGGCGAAAGUCGGACUAAUACCGUAUGUUGUCCAUUGACGGCAUCCGAUUUGGACGAAAGGCUUGGCGGUGAGGGAUGGGGAUGCGUCCGAUUAGCCAGACGGCGGGGUAACGGCCCACCGUGGCUACGAUCGGUAGGGGUUCUGAGAGGAAGGUCCCCCACACUGGAACUGAGACACGGUCCAGACUCCUACGGGAGGCAGCAGUGAGGAAUAUGGGUCAAUGGGCGUAAGCCUGAACCAGCCAAGUAGCGGGCAGGAUGACGGCCCUAUGGGUUGUAAACUGCUUUUAUGCGGGGAUAAAGUGGCCCACGUGUGGGCUUUUGCAGGUACCGCAUGAAUAAGGACCGGCUAAUUCCGU